This 272-nucleotide ribosomal RNA is filed under the name uncultured Lachnospiraceae bacterium. Its description in RNAcentral is "partial 16S ribosomal RNA". It matches the Rfam family "Bacterial small subunit ribosomal RNA", at positions 71 to 339 of the family's 1533-position model. Lineage: Bacteria; Bacillati; Bacillota; Clostridia; Lachnospirales; Lachnospiraceae. The record is from RNAcentral.
CCGGAGUGCUUGCACUUUGGCAGACUGAGUGGCGGACGGGUGAGUAACGCGUGGGUAACCUGCCUUAUACAGGGGGAUAACAGUUGGAAACGACUGCUAAUACCGCAUAAGCGCACGGUUCCGCAUGGAACAGUGUGAAAAACUCCGGUGGUACAGGAUGGAUUCGCGUCUGAUUAGCCAGUUGGUGAGGUAAUGGCCCACCAAGCCGACGAUCGGUAGCCGACCUGAGAGGGUGAUCGGCCACAUUGGGACUGAGACACGGCCCAAACUCC